Molecule: ribosomal RNA, 468 nt
Filed under: uncultured bacterium
Lineage: Bacteria
Description: partial 16S ribosomal RNA
Rfam family: Bacterial small subunit ribosomal RNA
Source: RNAcentral
GACGAACGCUGGCGGCGUGCUUAACACAUGCAAGUCGAACGGAAAGGCCCUGCUUUUGUGGGGUGCUCGAGUGGCGAACGGGUGAGUAACACGUGUGUAACCUGCCCUUGACUUUGGGAUAACUUCAGGAAACUGGGGCUAAUACCGGAUAGGAGCUCCUGCUGCAUGGUGGGGGUUGGAAAGUUUCGGCGGUUGGGGAUGGACUCGCGGCUUAUCAGCUUGUUGGUGGGGUAGUGGCUUACCAAGGCUUUGACGGGUAGCCGGCCUGAGAGGGUGACCGGCCACAUUGGGACUGAGAUACGACCCAGACUCCUACGGGAGGCAGCAGUGGGGAAUAUUGCACAAUGGGCGGAAGCCUGAUGCAGCAACGCCGCGUGCGGGAUGACGGCCUUCGGGUUGUAAACCGCUUUCGCCUGUGACGAAGCGUGAGUGACGGUAAUGGGUAAAGAAGCACCGGCUAACUACGUG